GAUUCUAUAGCUCAAUUGGCAGAGCAGCGGACUGUUAAUCCGCAGGUUACAGGUUCAACUCCUGUUAGAAUCG
RNAcentral lists this transfer RNA (73 nucleotides) under Flavobacterium akiainvivens. It matches the Rfam family "tRNA". Rfam says of the family: Transfer RNA (tRNA) molecules are approximately 80 nucleotides in length. Lineage: Bacteria; Pseudomonadati; Bacteroidota; Flavobacteriia; Flavobacteriales; Flavobacteriaceae. The record is from Rfam by way of RNAcentral.